GGAGGAUCCAAGCGUUAUCCGGAAUCAUUGGGUUUAAAGGGUCCGUAGGCGGUUUAGUAAGUCAGUGGUGAAAGCCCAUCGCUCAACGGUGGAACGGCCAUUGAUACUGCUGAACUUGAAUUAUUAGGAAGUAACUAGAAUAUGUAGUGUAGCGGUGAAAUGCUUAGAGAUUACAUGGAAUACCAAUUGUGAAGGCAGGUUAUUAAUAAUGGAUUGACGCUGAUGGACGAAAGCGUGGGUAGCGAACAGGAUUAGAUACCCUGGUAGUCCACGCCGUAAACGAUGGAUACUAGCUGUUGGGAGCAAUCUCAGUGGCUAAGCGAAAGUGAUAAGUAUCCCACCUGGGGAGUACGUUCGCAAGAAGG
RNAcentral lists this ribosomal RNA (365 nucleotides) under uncultured bacterium. RNAcentral describes it as "bacterial SSU rRNA". It matches the Rfam family "Bacterial small subunit ribosomal RNA", at positions 527 to 896 of the family's 1533-position model. The record is from RNAcentral.